GGCGUAUGGCGCAGUGGUUAGCGCGCUUGUCUAUGAAUUUUUCGACGCUGGUUCGACUCCCGGAGGGUGUCA
This is a non-coding RNA of Caenorhabditis brenneri, 72 nucleotides long. NCBI's taxonomy places the organism in Eukaryota, Metazoa, Nematoda, Chromadorea, Rhabditida, Rhabditidae. The record is from the annotation of a GenBank genome assembly.